GAAUAUUGGACAAUGGGCGCAAGCCUGAUCCAGCCAUGCCGCGUGUGUGAAGAAGGCCUUCGGGUUGUAAAGCACUUUAAGUUGGGAGGAAGGUUUCUUGGCUAAUAUCCAAGAGAAUUGACGUUACCAACAGAAUAAGCACCGGCUAAUUCCGUGCCAGCAGCCGCGGUAAUACGGAAGGUGCGAGCGUUAAUCGGAAUUACUGGGCGUAAAGCGCACGUAGGUGGCUACUUAAGUCGGAUGUGAAAGCCCUGGGCUUAACCUGGGAAUUGCAUCCGAUACUGGGUGGCUAGAGUACGGUAGAGGGUGGUGGAAUUCCCGGUGUAGCAGUGAAAUGCGUAGAGAUCGGGAGGAACAUCUGUGGCGAAGGCGGCCACCUGGACCAGCACUGACACUGAGGCACGAAAGCGUGGGGAGCAAACAGG
RNAcentral lists this ribosomal RNA (425 nucleotides) under uncultured bacterium. Its description in RNAcentral is "bacterial SSU rRNA". It matches the Rfam family "Bacterial small subunit ribosomal RNA", at positions 359 to 776 of the family's 1533-position model. The record is from RNAcentral.